Molecule: long non-coding RNA, 577 nt
Filed under: Mytilus galloprovincialis (Mediterranean mussel)
Lineage: Eukaryota; Metazoa; Mollusca; Bivalvia; Mytilida; Mytilidae
Source: RNAcentral
UUUGUUUUAUGUUUUAGCACAUCACCAACGGAAAGUUAUAAAAACUGUAUCAGAUUGUCCAUUAGUUUCUGUGAUGAUGAGAAAUUAAAACGAGGCGUCCAGAAACUGAAAGAUGCUGUGAGAGAAUACCAAUCAAUAUGGGGCCAAGACAAAUAGGGGAUAGUUUACUGAGACAAUCAUUUUGUUUUAUUUUUGUUGGUUAGAGGAAUAUAAUAAGAGCUUACCAGGACAUAUCUUUACAGUAAAUUAAAAUACAAUCACAAAAAUAUUUCAUAUGAAUGAUUUUGAAUUUUAUUGUUAUAAUUUUCACCAGUAUUUUUCUUACUGAAAUGCAAUAAGAGUAUAAAAUAUUGUAAUGCAAUAAGAGUAUAAAAUAUUGUAAUGCAAUAAGAGUAUAAAAUAUUGUAAUGAUUUUAACAUUUAUAUACAGAAUAAAAGACGAUGCAAACCAAACGAGGUAAUAUUUGAAGAAAGACGAAAACUUCUGAAUUACAAAAUUAAAGAGAGGACAACAACAAUUUGCACUGAUAAUAAUUAAUAACAACAUGCAUAGUUAAUGACACAUAAUGAACACGGC